This is a small nuclear RNA of Fukomys damarensis (Damara mole-rat), 106 nucleotides long. The record is from Ensembl. NCBI's taxonomy places the organism in Eukaryota, Metazoa, Chordata, Mammalia, Rodentia, Bathyergidae.
GUGCUUGCUUCAGCAUCUCAUGAACUAAAAUUGGAAUGAUAUAGAAAAGACUAGCACGGCCCCUGCUCAAGGAUGACAGGAAAUUUGUGAAGUGUUCCAUAUUUCU